Molecule: ribosomal RNA, 517 nt
Filed under: uncultured bacterium
Lineage: Bacteria
Description: bacterial SSU rRNA
Rfam family: Bacterial small subunit ribosomal RNA
Source: RNAcentral
UCCUACGGGAGGCAGCAGUGAGGAAUAUUGGUCAAUGGAGGCACCUNANCCAGCCACGCGCGUGCAGGAAGACNGCCCUAUGGGUUGUAAACUUUUUAUAGGAAGAAACUCAGUNACGNGUAGAUUUCUGCCAGUAUUCUAUGAAUAAGCAUCGGCUAACUCCGUGCCAGCAGCCGCGGUAAUACGGAGGAUGCAAGCGUUAUCCGGAUUUAUUGGGUUUAAAGGGUGCGUAGGCGGGACAUUAAGUCGGGGGUGAAAUCUUGCAGCUUAACUGUAGCAUUGCCUUAGAUACUGCUUUUCUUGAGUACAGGUGAGGUAGGCGGAAUUUGGUGUGUAGCGGAGAAAUGCAUAGAUAUGGCGCAGCACCCCGAUUGCGAAGGCAGCUUUCUAAGCUAUUACUGACGGUGAGGCACGAAAGCGUGGGGAUCAAACAGGAUUAGAUACCCUGGUAGUCCACGCAGUACGGAUUACUCGUUGUUAGCGAUACACAGUCAGUGNCGCAGCGAAAGCANUAAGU